UUUAUAUAACGUCGUUAACUUUUAGAUUCACAUUUGACCAUUCGUCUUAUUCAAAAGAAAUAUAUAAUUAUUAAUUAUUUUGUUAUAAUAUGAUUUAUUAUUAUAGAAACUUUAAGUAUGCCUUAUAAUUUUAUAUAUUUUAAUAUAAAUUUUGAAUAAGACGAAUGGUCAAACGUGAACUAAAAAGUCAACGGCGUCAUAUAUA
This 205-nucleotide microRNA precursor is filed under the name Oryza brachyantha (malo sina). RNAcentral describes it as "MIR812 microRNA precursor family". It matches the Rfam family "MIR812 microRNA precursor family". The record is from Rfam by way of RNAcentral. Lineage: Eukaryota; Viridiplantae; Streptophyta; Magnoliopsida; Poales; Poaceae.